RNAcentral lists this microRNA precursor (69 nucleotides) under Microtus ochrogaster (prairie vole). RNAcentral describes it as "miRNA (ENSMOCG00000009905.1)". Lineage: Eukaryota; Metazoa; Chordata; Mammalia; Rodentia; Cricetidae. The record is from RNAcentral.
AAAAAUAAUCUAACUCUAGGGCUGGAGAGAUGGCUCAGCCGUUAAAGGCUGGGCUCACAACCAAAAAUA